AAUGGGGGAAACCCUGACGCAGCAACGCCGCGUGAGUGAUGAAGGCCUUCGGGUCGUAAAGCUCUGUCAGAGGGCAAGAAAUGUGGGCGGCUAAUAUCCGUUGCACUUGACGGUACCCUCAGAGGAAGCACCGGCUAACUCCGUGCCAGCAGCCGCGGUAAUACGGAGGGUGCCAGCGUUGUUCGGAAUUAUUGGGCGUAAAGCGCGUGUAGGCGGUCUUUUAAGUCUGGUGUGAAAGCCCCGGGCUCAGCCUGGGAAGUGCAUUGGAAACUGGGAGACUUGAAUACGGGAGAGGGCAGUGGAAUUCCUAGUGUAGGAGUGAAAUCCGUAGAUAUUAGGAGGAACACCGGUGGCGAAGGCGGCUGCCUGGACCGAUAUUGACGCUGAGACGCGAAAGCGUGGGGAGCAAA
This 410-nucleotide ribosomal RNA is filed under the name uncultured bacterium. RNAcentral describes it as "bacterial SSU rRNA". It matches the Rfam family "Bacterial small subunit ribosomal RNA", at positions 370 to 772 of the family's 1533-position model. The record is from RNAcentral.